GAUGAAGAACGUAGCGAAAUGCGAUAAGUAAUGUGAAUUGCAGAAUUCAGUGAAUCAUCGAAUCUUUGAACGCACAUUGCGCCCUCUGGUAUUCCGGGGGGCAUGCCUGUUCGAGCGUCAUUAUAACCACUCAAGCUCUCGCUUGGUAUUGGGGUUCGCGGUUUCGCGGCCCCUAAAAUCAGUGGCGGUGCCUGUCGGCUCUACGCGUAGUAAUACUUCUCGCGAUUGAGUUCGAUAGGUCUACUUGCCAGUAACCCCCAAUUUUUACAGGUUGACCUCGGAUCAGGUAGGGAUACCCGCUGAACUUAAGCAUAUCAAUAAGCGGAGGGA
This 330-nucleotide unclassified non-coding RNA is filed under the name soil metagenome. RNAcentral's name for it is "partial contains 5.8S ribosomal RNA, internal transcribed spacer 2, and large subunit ribosomal RNA". The stretch from base 1 to 120 matches the Rfam family "5.8S ribosomal RNA", at positions 35 to 154 of the family's 154-position model. The record is from RNAcentral.